Molecule: small RNA, 775 nt
Filed under: Pongo abelii (Sumatran orangutan)
Lineage: Eukaryota; Metazoa; Chordata; Mammalia; Primates; Hominidae
Description: processed transcript
Source: RNAcentral
GCCCAGGAGUUCUCCAAACCCGCGCUGCGGAGUGAGUGACCAAGUUCUGGCCAGUUCGACCUCGAGGAUCCAGAGGUGGAGACGGUACUACCUCCCAGCUCUGGUUUCCAUCCCCUUCAGGUCCUUCCUCGGGAGGCGGGGAAGGAAGUCCACCCUGCGCGUGAUCCUUUAUGCCCGGCCCCUGCCCCUCCCUCCGGGUGGAGCUUCCCCCUCACCGCCAGACUUAAGCUGAGGACCGUUGGAUCUCUAGCGGGGUGCAGAACUGAGCCCAGGCCACACUACCCUAUUCACGCUCUGUGCUUGUGCCAAGGUAAAAGCAGCUGUUAAGUAUGCCCUUAGUGUAGGCUACCGCCACAUUGAUUGUGCUGCUAUCUACGGCAAUGAGCCUGAGAUUGGGGAGGCCCUGAAGGAGGACGUGGGACCAGGCAAGGCGGUGCCUCGGGAGGAGCUGUUUGUGACAUCCAAGCUGUGGAACACCAAGCACCACCCCGAGGAUGUGGAGCCUGCCCUCCAGAAGACUCUGGCUGACCUCCAGCUGGAGUAUCUGGACCUGUACCUGAUGCACUGGCCUUAUGCCUUUGAGUGAGCCUUGCCAGAGCCUCAUCUGGGGAAUCAGGGGGUUGAGCAGGAUGGUGUUAGUAACUUAUUGUAAGUCACAGCAGCAGAGCAGGAUAGGAACACUCAUUUGCAUGGCAAGCUGAGGAGCUUGAGGUGGGAUCUUAGCCUCUUCUGCUACAGCAGCUUAGCUGUAGCUACAGGAGUUUAACUCUAGAAA